UUUUGUCGCCCCCUCUCAUCCCUUUCCUUCCUCAUUUUUGUCCUAUUUAUCGUUGAAAAGAAAAAGUAAAAUUAUAUUAAACUUAAAAAAAUGUGGUGGGGGAAAUUAAGAAUAAAUGGAAUAAAAAGGGAGAGGUGGGGUGAGAAAAGGGAAUGGAGGAGAAGAAGGAAUUAUGGAUUUUUUUGGUUCUUUUUGUCUCCCCCUCUCAUCCCUUUCCUUCCUCUUUUUUGUCCUAUUUAUCGUCGAAAAAAAAUUAAUUAAAAUUAUAUUAAAAAAAAGUGUUGGCGCGGAGGGCGGAAUGAUGGGGAAAAUUGAGGAUAAAUUGAAUAAAAAGGGAGAGGCGGGGUGAGAAAAGGGAAUGGAAAAGAGGGGGAAAAGUGGAAAAGUGAAAUUGGAGUGGAGGAGUGAGUGUGGAGAGGCGAAAAACAGGAAUUAAAAAAGUGAAAAAGUGAGAAAAGUUCAGGAAUUGAAAAGUGGAAAAGUGAAAAAAAGUUCAGGAAUUAGAGUGGAAAAGUGGCGAAAUUCAGGAAUUGAAAAGUGGGAAAGUGGCAAAAGUUCAGGAAUUAAAAAGUGCAAAAAGUUCAGGAAUUAAAAAGUUCAGGAAUGAAAAAGCGGAGGAAUGAAAAAAGCGGAAAAAAAAGAGAAAAAGUGCAGAAAUAAAGAAAAAAAUUAAAAGUGGAGGAGUGAAUGCGGAGGAAUGAAUGCGCAGAAUUUAAUUAAUUAAUGCGGAGAAAUGAGCGAGCGAAUGAGCGAGGAGGAAUUAAUUAAUUAAUGAAUUCAUUAAUUAAUGAGAGAGCUCCUCAAACCCCCACGGAUCCCCCCAAAAUCUCCCGCUCCGAACUCCCCGCACCCCAAAAAUGGGGAAAAUCGGGCAAAAAUCGGGGCGGGAAUUGGGGCAAAAAUUGGGGCCAAACUGGGCAGAAUUGGGGCCACCAAUUCCCCCCGAACCUCAGCGAUUCCCGGUGAGAAAAAUUCCGAUUUUCCUCGGGGAAAUGCCCUAAAAAAGCGCUUUUUCGGCCCAAAUUUGCCUUUUUGUCCUGGGCUCAUCACCGCAUCCACAAACUGUGACGGUUUCUGUGUGAAUAUUUUUCUCUGUGUUCGUGGUUCCUGUAUUUAUAUUUAUGUUUAGCGCUGUAAUGUUCGGAAAAAAAAAAAAAAGGGGGGUAAAAAAUUAAAAAAAAUAAAAUAAAAAAAAAUGAAUGGAGUUCA
This 1209-nucleotide long non-coding RNA is filed under the name Junco hyemalis (dark-eyed junco). Its description in RNAcentral is "lncRNA (ENSJHYG00000015762.1)". The record is from RNAcentral. Lineage: Eukaryota; Metazoa; Chordata; Aves; Passeriformes; Passerellidae.